CAGUCAUGCCACAUUGAAAUACUGGUUCCCGUACAAUCACCAAAGUUGAGCAAUGUUGAGUCUGAUCAGUACUUAGAUGGGUGACCACUUGGGAAUACCAGGUGCUA
Acanthosepion pharaonis is the source of this 107-nucleotide non-coding RNA. NCBI's taxonomy places the organism in Eukaryota, Metazoa, Mollusca, Cephalopoda, Sepiida, Sepiidae. The record is from the annotation of a GenBank genome assembly.